RNAcentral lists this ribosomal RNA (253 nucleotides) under uncultured bacterium. Its description in RNAcentral is "partial 16S ribosomal RNA". It matches the Rfam family "Bacterial small subunit ribosomal RNA", at positions 524 to 776 of the family's 1533-position model. The record is from RNAcentral.
UACGUAGGUGGCAAGCGUUGUCCGGAUUUACUGGGUGUAAAGGGCGUGCAGCCGGGCUGACAAGUCAGAUGUGAAAUCCCGCGGCUCAACCGCGGAACUGCAUUUGAAACUGUCAGUCUUGAGUACCGGAGAGGUCAUCGGAAUUCCUUGUGUAGCGGUGAAAUGCGUAGAUAUAAGGAAGAACACCAGUGGCGAAGGCGGAUGACUGGACGGCAACUGACGGAGAGGCGCGAAAGCGUGGGGAGCAAACAGG